AUGAGGGAGAGAUGACAUUGGGAGAGAGGAUGAGGGAGAGGUGACACAGGGAGAGAGGAUGAGGGAGAGAUGACAUAGGGAGAGAGGAUGAGGGAGAGGAUGAGGGAGAGGUGACAUAGGGAGAGAGGAUGAGGAAGAGGCGACAUGGGGAGGGAGGAUGAGAGAGAGGAGAGAUGGGGAGAGAGGAUGAGAGAGAGGAUAAGGCAGAGGUGACAUGGGGAGGGGAGAUGAGGCGGAAGCGACACAGGGAGGGAGGAUGAGGGAGACGAUGAGGGAGAAGUGACAUGGGGAGGGAGGAUGAGGGAGAGGAGAGAUGGGGAGAGAGGAAGAGGGAGAGGAUGAGGGAGAGGAUGAGGAAGAGGCGACACGGGCAGGGAGGAUGAGAGAGAGGAUGAGGGAGAGGCAACAUGGGGAGGGAGGAUGAGGGAGAGGUAACACGGAGAGGCUGAGGGAGAUGUGACAUGGGGAGGGAUGAUGAGGGAGAGGCGACACAGGGAGAUGGCUGAGUACUCCCGGAACUGAGGCAAGCUGUGGGCCCCCAGUGGACGAGCUCUGUGUGCUCCCAGUAAGAAGACAGUUGACUGGCUGUGCAAGGACGUGUGGUGGGGAAGUUCCUGGAAGGCAGCUGGGAGAUGGGAGUUUUCAGUCCAGCUCCGGCACCCAGUUGCCCCGAGUCCUCUUCCUGUCUCAAGUGAGAGGGCUGAUCUGGACUUGGCUGAUCUGGGGUUGUUAUGAAACUAGCUUUCUCAGGAGACGAUGCAUUCAUUAUAAAGAGAAGACACUCU
This 785-nucleotide long non-coding RNA is filed under the name Homo sapiens (human). RNAcentral's name for it is "HSALNT0243676". Lineage: Eukaryota; Metazoa; Chordata; Mammalia; Primates; Hominidae. The record is from RNAcentral.